UACGUAGGGUGCAAGCGUUGUCCGGAAUUAUUGGGCGUAAAGAGCUCGUAGGCGGUUUGUCGCGUCUGCUGUGAAAACGCGAGGCUCAACCUCGCGCCUGCAGUGGGUACGGGCAGACUAGAGUGCGGUAGGGGAGAUUGGAAUUCCUGGUGUAGCGGUGGAAUGCGCAGAUAUCAGGAGGAACACCGAUGGCGAAGACAGAUCUCUGGGCCGUAACUGACGUGAGGAGCGAAAGACGUGGGGAGCGAACAGG
This 253-nucleotide ribosomal RNA is filed under the name uncultured bacterium. Its description in RNAcentral is "partial 16S ribosomal RNA". It matches the Rfam family "Bacterial small subunit ribosomal RNA", at positions 524 to 776 of the family's 1533-position model. The record is from RNAcentral.